This is a non-coding RNA of Prunus persica (peach), 111 nucleotides long. Lineage: Eukaryota; Viridiplantae; Streptophyta; Magnoliopsida; Rosales; Rosaceae. The record is from Rfam.
UUGGGAGCUCACUGACUUCGGAUUUCAUGGGAACUCCAAAGUUAAGUGAGUUUGGGCUAGAGCAAUCCCAGGAUGGGUGACCCACUGGGAAGUUGCUCGUGAGUUCCUAGA